RNAcentral lists this small RNA (28 nucleotides) under Bombyx mori (domestic silkworm). Its description in RNAcentral is "ovarian small RNA-28420". The record is from RNAcentral. Lineage: Eukaryota; Metazoa; Arthropoda; Insecta; Lepidoptera; Bombycidae.
UCGAUAACUUCAAUAUGCGAUUUGCAAC